AUUGAACGCUGGCGGCAUGCUUUACACAUGCAAGUCGAACGCCCCGCAAGAGGAGUGGCAGACGGGUGAGUAACGCGUGGGAAUCUACCUAGUUCUACGGAACAACACAGGGAAACUUGUGCUAAUACCGUAUACGCCCUACGGGGGAAAGAUUUAUCGGAAUUAGAUGAGCCCGCGUAAGAUUAGCUAGUUGGUGGGGUAAUGGCCUACCAAGGCGACGAUCCUUAGCUGGUCUGAGAGGAUGGUCAGCCACACUGGGACUGAGACACGGCCCAGACUCCUACGGGAGGCAGCAGUGGGGAAUAUUGGACAAUGGGCGCAAGCCUGAUCCAGCCAUGCCGCGUGAGUGAUGAAGGCCUUAGGGUUGUAAAGCUCUUUCAGUGGGGAAGAUAAUGACGGUACCCGCAGAAGAAGCCCCGGCUAACUUCGUGCCAGCCGCCGCCGUAA
RNAcentral lists this ribosomal RNA (447 nucleotides) under uncultured bacterium. Its description in RNAcentral is "partial 16S ribosomal RNA". It matches the Rfam family "Bacterial small subunit ribosomal RNA", at positions 30 to 523 of the family's 1533-position model. The record is from RNAcentral.